This 253-nucleotide ribosomal RNA is filed under the name uncultured bacterium. Its description in RNAcentral is "partial 16S ribosomal RNA". It matches the Rfam family "Bacterial small subunit ribosomal RNA", at positions 524 to 776 of the family's 1533-position model. The record is from RNAcentral.
GACGAAGGGGGCUAGCGUUGCUCGGAAUUACUGGGCGUAAAGCGAGUGUAGGUGGUUGUCCAAGUUGGAUGUGAAAGCCUUGAGCUUAACUCAAGAAAUGCAUUCAGGACUGGGCAACUAGAGGACCGGAGAGGAUAGUGGAAUUCCCAGUGUAGUGGUGAAAUACGUAGAGAUUGGGAAGAACACCAGUGGCGAAGGCGGCGACCUGGUCCGAUACUGACGCUGAGGCGCGAAAGCGUGGGGAGCAAACAGG